GGCUUUCUUCGCGGCGGAGCUCGACCGCCCCACCAGCAGGUAGUGGCCUACAUCGAUGCUCACCGCCACGACGUGGUCGAUGAGCGUGAGGUCGGGGUCGAGCCGAUCUGCGCGGUCCUGAAGGACGCCGGCGUGCAGAUCGCCCCG
Regulatory RNA element from Mobilicoccus pelagius NBRC 104925, 147 nucleotides. It matches the Rfam family "ALIL pseudoknot". Lineage: Bacteria; Bacillati; Actinomycetota; Actinomycetes; Micrococcales; Dermatophilaceae. The record is from Rfam.